This 75-nucleotide small RNA is filed under the name Arabidopsis thaliana (thale cress). Its description in RNAcentral is "ATSL012630". The record is from RNAcentral. Lineage: Eukaryota; Viridiplantae; Streptophyta; Magnoliopsida; Brassicales; Brassicaceae.
AGCAUCAACCACAAAUCCUACUCUUGAUCAUGGGCCAAAGUUAACACAGUCAUACGUCGUAUACAGAUAGUCGUU